AAUGGAAAUAUAAAUCAAUUGCUUUAAAAAAGCAAUUGUAGGGGGUCUUUCCCCCUUUAAAAUUAAUUGAAUUGGGGGGGGGGGUUUGUUUGUUUGUUUGUUUGUUUGUUUGUUUGUUUGUUCGUUUCUGUAUGGGGUCUAUAUUAUUGUUACCGGAGAAGUUUCAUGUUUAGUUCGGAAAGUUUUUCUUUUAUUUUAGGUACAGCGCGCGCGCCACAUCACGUGACACGGGUUUAUAAUAACGAAAAGAUAGUCUUUUUAUUUCUUUUUAGGUGGGGACUUUGAACAGACAACAUGUAUAGAGACGGAAUAAACACAAUGUAAUUUCUUUUGUCAUUGUAGGAAAUUGACAUUUUGAUGACAGUUCACAAGCAGUGCAUGUUUUGGAUUUAAUUGAUCCGGUGUAACUUUAAAACACAUUUAUUGAUCAUUUUCUGAUAUUGUACAUUUUUCAGCACCUGUUUGUAACACAGAUUAGUAUUUCAAUCUCGGAGCGGACAUUUUAUAGUAGGUUUUUACUGAGAUUUACAGACCUAGCAAGCGAUUUUUACGGCAUUGCCAUUUCUUUUCUCUAGGAAAAGCUUUGAGAGAUAUCUGCACCAAGUUUUUUUAUAAACUUUCAGUACAUGUAUGCCCUGCUGACUGCAAAUUUUGAGGUCGAUUGUACUUGUAGUUUCAGAGAACAUGUGGAUUUUUUUUCAGAAGUGACGCAAGAACAAUAUUGAAUUUCGAUUUUUCAUGAAACAUGAUUUAUUGAUCAUGAUCAUGAUUGAUUGAUUGAUUGAUUGAUUGAUUGAUUGAUUGAUUGGUUGGUUGAUUAGUUGGUUGGUUGGUUGGUUGGUUAAACACGUUGCUUAAACAUGUUGCUUAAACACGUUGGAUAGGCUCAAAAUUGGAUCCCGUAUUUAACGCAUGAAACGGAAACAUGCAUUGAUUGAUUGAUUGAUUGAUUGGUUGGUUGUUGGUUGGUUGGUUGGUUGGUUGGUUAAACACGUUGGUUAAACAUGUUGGUUAAACACAUUGGUUAAACAUAUUGGUUAAACACGUUGGAUAGGCUCAAUUUAAACAAGCGGGAAAAAAAAAACCAUCUUGGAUCCCGUAUUUAACACAUAAAACGGAAACAUGCAUUGAUUGGUUGGUUGGUUAAACACGUUGGUUAAACAUGUUGGUUAAACACGUUGGUUAAACAUAUUGGUGAAACCCGUUGGCUGGUUAAACACGUUGGAUAGGCUCAAUUUAAACAAGCGAAAAAAAAAAACACAUCUUGGAUCCCGUAUUUAACACAUGAAACGGAAACAUGCAUGCAUUGAUUGGUUGGUUGGUUGGUUGGUUGGUUGGUUGGUUGGUUGGUUAAACACGUUGGUUAAACAUAUUGGUGAAACACGUUGGCUGGUUAAACACGUUGGAUAGGCUCAAUUUAAACAAGCAAAAAAAAACAUCUUGGAUCCCGUAUUUCACACAUGAAACGGAAACAUUAAUUGAUUGAUUGAUUGAUUGGUUGGUUGGUUGGUUGGUUGGUUGGUUGGUUGGUUGGUUGGUUGGUUGGUUGGUUGGUUGGUUGGUUGGUUGGUUGGUUAAACACGUUGGUUAAACAUGUUGGUUAAACACGUUGGUUAAACAUAUUGGUUAAACACGUUUGAUAGGCUCAAUUAAAACAGGCGAAAAAAAAAGAGACCUUGAAUCCCGUAUCAAACACAUGAAACGGAAACAUUGAUUGAUUGAUUGAUUGAUUGAUUGAUUGAUUGAUUGAUUGGUUGGUUGGUUGGUUGGUUGGUUGGUUGGUUGGUUGGUUGGUUGAAAUUCAAACACACAAAACUGUUUAAAUAGUGCCAAAACCACAUAAUUUGAUGACCUUGACCUUUGACCUUGUAACCUUCGUCAAGGUCAUUGCUCCACAAGGUCAUUGCAAAAGACCCUAUGGGUCAAGGACCUUUUGUUUAAGAGUUUUGCCUAAAAAUGGCUUUUUAAAAACCAUCGAUGGGAGUUAUGUCCCUUACAUGAUGGUAAAAUCAAUAUAGUCAUAAUGUAAAAAAAUUGCCCCUUGAAGUACCAAGCAUUUUUCACUGCUUAAUUUUUUUGUAUCUAUAACCGUUCAAGAGUUAUAGGGAAAUCAAAGACAUGUGAAAAUCUAAAAUAUGACCUUGACCUUUGACCUUGACCUAAUUUUCAUUUUUUUGGACCAAGGACCUCAAAUCAAAAGAUCCUAGGUCUCUAGCACUUAUGGUUUACAAGAUAGAAAUGCAUAUCACUUAUAACAAAUGCAUAAGGGGAAAUAACUCUCAUAUGGAGCGUUCAUAUCGCUUCGGUCAAAAUAGGACAAAUCAUGCGAAGGAUAUAACGAGUAAUUUUGUAAAAUAAAUUUGUCCUAAUAUUUUACGGUUGCGAAGGAGUUGCGCUAACAAGGAAAACAGUGUUUGGGGAGAUAACUCCUACAAAGAAAAGUAUUCGUUUACGCAGGGUAAAUUUCAAAAGCGCAUAAACUGUUCGAUAUCAUAUCAUAUACCAAAUAUCUAAGCGACAUAUUGCGAAACAAAUGUUUAUCGCAAGAACAAAAUUAGGCGGAAGAAAAAAAAAAAAAAAAAAAAAUAAUCAGAACAAAUACAAUAGGCUUUCCACAGAAAAGUGGAAAGACCUAAUAACUGUGUUCGUGACCGAUUGGUACACUGUUCCUGUC
RNAcentral lists this long non-coding RNA (2674 nucleotides) under Mytilus galloprovincialis (Mediterranean mussel). Lineage: Eukaryota; Metazoa; Mollusca; Bivalvia; Mytilida; Mytilidae. The record is from RNAcentral.